AGGCUGAACUAUUAAAGAUCUUCUGAAUACCAAAGAAAAUUGCACCAAGCGCUGGCUUGCCUCAGAAUAAAAAAAAACUCCUGCUGCUGCAGGUUAUUUGUAGCUUGAACAUAUCUAGUUCCUACUUCCAAAUUUAGGGUGUUUCUUCUGCUUGAUUAUGGAGCUGACAGUCGUCUUUCCUUUACUAUCAUUGAACCAGGAUGUAAAAGUAUUUAGAAUAAUUUCUUCUCUGUGAGGAAGACUUUACUCAAAGAUUAAUGAUUCUAAAGUGCUUUGAAAUCCAAGAUGAAAGGCUGCAGAGACACAGCAUUUGUAGAACUGAGCUCGUGGAAUCCAAACUGUUUUACAGCAGCAGAUUCACAGCUAAAUGUGUCAUCUCUGCUUGCUUGUGUAUUGAUUUCAGUCCUGAUAAACAAAUAAAAUCCCCCCUCUCUCAUGACAGGAGGUUUGGUGCAAAAUUCAAGGUUUUGGACAAACCUUCACAUGAAAAUAGCUUAUUAAAAGCUCCAAUCCUAAUGUCUUGAAAAGCUGCAUGAGUCAGAAAAUACAGGAGCAGAGGCUAAAAUCAAAUAUGUCAUAAUGUAAUAAAAUAAAUGAUCUUGCUAAAUUACAUCUUAGAGUCCAUCAAGAUCCCAUAUGUACUUAAAUCCUUGCAGCCUGAAGGUCUACAGUAACACUUCUCCAAUGUGUGAUAAAGUUUCUAAAAUGUGGUUUAGACAAAUGAAAAAUCAAGGCACUAAUUGAAGUAUCUUUCUAUAUUUUCUGUCUGAAGAGAAGAUGUUACCAUUAUUUACUGCACAGAAUUCUGUGUUAAUUAGGUUAGAACUGAAAACUUGAGUGCAAGGUUAUUUGUUUAAAAUAAAGGUGCCUGGGUAUAAAAAUAGGUUGCUGUUUUCAAGUCACACAACAGCUUGGAAUAAAAGAUUAAAACACUCAUCCAAGCAAAACCUUGAAUGUUGAGGUUUUUUGGGGUUUUUUUGGUUGUUGUUGUUUGGUUGGUUUUUUGUUUUUGUUGGUUUUUUUUUUACAAUUCUAUAUCUAAUAAAAAAAAUUACUUUUAAUAAGC
RNAcentral lists this long non-coding RNA (1066 nucleotides) under Taeniopygia guttata (zebra finch). Its description in RNAcentral is "lncRNA (ENSTGUG00000020602.1)". The record is from RNAcentral. Lineage: Eukaryota; Metazoa; Chordata; Aves; Passeriformes; Estrildidae.